This 773-nucleotide ribosomal RNA is filed under the name uncultured bacterium. RNAcentral's name for it is "bacterial SSU rRNA". It matches the Rfam family "Bacterial small subunit ribosomal RNA", at positions 8 to 798 of the family's 1533-position model. The record is from RNAcentral.
AGAGUUUGAUCAUGGCUCAGGACGAACGCUGGCGGCGUGCUUAACACAUGCAAGUCGAACGGAAAGGCCCUUCGGGGUACUCGAGUGGCGAACGGGUGAGUAACACGUGGGUGAUCUGCCCUGCACUUUGGGAUAAGCCUGGGAAACUGGGUCUAAUACCGAAUAUGACCACGCUCUUCAUGGGGUGUGGUGGAAAGCUUUUGCGGUGUGGGAUGGGCCCGCGGCCUAUCAGCUUGUUGGUGGGGUAAUGGCCUACCAAGGCGACGACGGGUAGCCGGCCUGAGAGGGUGACCGGCCACACUGGGACUGAGAUACGGCCCAGACUCCUACGGGAGGCAGCAGUGGGGAAUAUUGCACAAUGGGCGCAAGCCUGAUGCAGCGACGCCGCGUGAGGGAUGACGGCCUUCGGGUUGUAAACCUCUUUCACCAGGGACGAAGCGCAAGUGACGGUACCUGGAGAAGAAGCACCGGCCAACUACGUGCCAGCAGCCGCGGUAAUACGUAGGGUGCGAGCGUUGUCCGGAAUUACUGGGCGUAAAGAGCUCGUAGGUGGUUUGUCGCGUUGUUCGUGAAAACUCACAGCUUAACUGUGGGCGUGCGGGCGAUACGGGCAGACUAGAGUACUGCAGGGGAGACUGGAAUUCCUGGUGUAGCGGUGGAAUGCGCAGAUAUCAGGAGGAACACCGGUGGCGAAGGCGGGUCUCUGGGCAGUAACUGGCGCUGAGGAGCGAAAGCGUGGGGAGCGAACAGGAUUAGAUACCCCGGUAGUCCAA